Molecule: ribosomal RNA, 253 nt
Filed under: Blautia faecis
Lineage: Bacteria; Bacillati; Bacillota; Clostridia; Lachnospirales; Lachnospiraceae
Description: partial 16S ribosomal RNA
Rfam family: Bacterial small subunit ribosomal RNA
Source: RNAcentral
UACGUAGGGGGCGAGCGUUAUCCGGAUUUACUGGGUGUAAAGGGAGCGUAGACGGCGUAUCAAGUCUGAUGUGAAAGGCAGGGGCUUAACCCCUGGACUGCAUUGGAAACUGGUAUGCUUGAGUGCCGGAGGGGUAAGCGGAAUUCCUAGUGUAGCGGUGAAAUGCGUAGAUAUUAGGAGGAAUACCAGUGGCGAAGGCGGCUUACUGGACGGUAACUGACGUUGAGGCUCGAAAGCGUGGGGAGCAAACAGG